UGUUCUGUGGCAUAGUUGGUUAAAGCGCCGGUCUAGCGAAUAUGAAGUCGUGGGUUCGAAUUCCACCAGAACGC
This is a non-coding RNA of Aedes albopictus (Asian tiger mosquito), 74 nucleotides long. Lineage: Eukaryota; Metazoa; Arthropoda; Insecta; Diptera; Culicidae. The record is from Rfam.